GGCUGUGUGGGUGAUUUGGCUGUGACAUCUGUCACCCCACUGAUUCAGCUGAUCUGGCUGGCUAGGCAGGUGUCCCCUGCCUCCCUCACCACUCCAUGUGCUUCCCUCCCAAAGCUGUAUGUUUGGUGGAUGAGGCGGGCCAUCCAAGGAGUAUCAUGAUCUUUGGUCAAGGGUAUAGGAUAUUUGUGCUUCCCCCACUACAACCUCCAAACAAGCUCAAGGAUUUAAUAAACAUUAUCAGUAUCUAUAAAGAUAUUGCUAAUUAAGGUACAAUACUAUGCA
Molecule: small nuclear RNA, 282 nt
Filed under: Pogona vitticeps (central bearded dragon)
Lineage: Eukaryota; Metazoa; Chordata; Lepidosauria; Squamata; Agamidae
Description: 7SK RNA (ENSPVIG00000024604.1)
Rfam family: 7SK RNA
About the family: 7SK was discovered as an abundant small nuclear RNA in the mid-70s but a possible function has only recently been suggested. Two independent studies have found that 7SK RNA binds the CDK9/cyclin T complex (known as elongation factor P-TEFb). P-TEFb activates transcription by phosphorylating the C-terminal domain of RNA polymerase II.
Source: Rfam by way of RNAcentral